UGAAAUAUUUCAGUAAAAUUGUUGCUACUAAAUUAGUUUUUCUGUAAGACAUUUCAAGUAGGUAAAGUAGGGCGCUUAGGCUGGCUGAAAACAGAUAAAGGAUUGCGUUAGCCUAACUUGGUCUGUUCAUCGCGACGAGGAAGAGCAGCGGCAAAAUUUUCUAGAAUUGAUUCAGCUUGCUUCCAAUUCCGUAUCUACUAGAUUCUUUCAACAUUGAGUUUCUUUCAUUAGGUCAGCUCAAAGCAUAAAGGUGUUCUUCAU
This 261-nucleotide small RNA is filed under the name Arabidopsis thaliana (thale cress). RNAcentral describes it as "ATSL295820". The record is from RNAcentral. Lineage: Eukaryota; Viridiplantae; Streptophyta; Magnoliopsida; Brassicales; Brassicaceae.